Non-coding RNA from Taeniopygia guttata (zebra finch), 434 nucleotides. Lineage: Eukaryota; Metazoa; Chordata; Aves; Passeriformes; Estrildidae. The record is from RefSeq and is a predicted model, not a curated record.
UGGAAGGAGGAUGUCACAAUGGCAGAUUUUCUCCGGGUGGUGCCAUGUGUGACAUGGAAACAUAAGAGGUUUCAACUGUGUUUCCUGUAGAAGACUAUGGCACAAGAAAGACUCCUCUCUCCCCUGGUGGACUGAGAAUUGGUUAUCUGAGAGGUGGUAACUUGAUCAAAAAUCCAAGAGGAGGCAGAGUUGAUCCUCAGCUGCCCAUGAACUGAUAACUCCCCUCAAAAAUGUCUUUCUACAGAGAAUUGCAGACAGCUAUUGCAACACUCCCUUUCGGUAAAAAGGCACUGGCAUGAGUUGCCAAGAGAAUCUGUGGCUGCAUCACCCCUGGAAUUGUUCAAGGACCUGUUGAACUGGGCUCAGAACAACCUGGUCUAGUGGAAGGAGUCCCUGCCUAUGGCAGAGGGUUGAAAUGAGAUGGUCUUUAAGGU